Molecule: long non-coding RNA, 4368 nt
Filed under: Brassica napus (rape)
Lineage: Eukaryota; Viridiplantae; Streptophyta; Magnoliopsida; Brassicales; Brassicaceae
Description: long non-coding RNA (BNAP_LNC001181)
Source: RNAcentral
CAUGUUGGGUUGUGGGUUGAGAGGUGGAUUUUCAAUGCCUUCGAAUCGAUUUAUUAUAGUUUCUACGUCUAGAUGACCAAAAGAAUAAACUUUUCCACUAGGUGAAAACACAAAAAUAGCGACCUCAGCAUCACAAAGUGUACAAAGCUCACAAGCCUUUUUGAAAAGACCAUUUUUUCUUUUAGAAAACGUAACUUGAAGGUUAUUUUCUUUAUCCAUUUUGACCAUUUUUGUUUUUUGACGACCUUUACUUUUUUUCAUCAUUUCUUUAGAGAUAACUGGAACAAUAAAAUAUUGGUUGAUGUUUUUAUGAAGGAACUUUGUGUAUUUAUAGCUAAAUGUCAGAUACCAGCAAUUAGUAUUUUGAGUUAUCUAGAAACAAGGUCAAUUCAAAUUUGCUAGUUUUAUAUUUGAAUAUCAAUUUUACCAUUCUGAUACAUUUCAAUAUCUUUUUAUUCCAUCAAUAUAAGGUAUGCAAUUCAUAUUUAUUUGACUAUAAUAUUUUCAUUUAGUUUGUUUCAAUCUAUCAUAAUCUGUUAUAGUAUUAAAUCCCUCAACUAAAGAUGGUGAUAGAACAACCUCUCAACUAAAUAUUCGAUGAAAGAAAUACAAAACUUUAAUUUCAUUAACGUAUGUCACCUUCCGUCAUAGUAUUUUAGAUGGAGGGUGAAAUACAUUAACGAUUUGUAAGAUAAGAGUUUUUAAUGUUGAAAACUUAGUUGACGAGUUUUAUCACUAAAAAUUUGAUAAAUGUUUUAAAACUCUUAUAUAUAGUCAAUUAAUAUAGUUUUUGAAAAGAGAUUUUACAUUUGUCUUGGAGUUUUGUAAGAUAUAAUCAGAAAACUUAUAUUUUUAAUUUAAUACAGCACUUUUCAUUGCAAAUAUAUAUUAUAUUUCGUUUUUAUAAAUAUUGUUCGUGAGUAGCACCGGAGAUAAUACAAGUUAUAACUAAUAGGGAUAUCACAUCAGUGGGAAAAUGUUAUUAAGAAAAAUUGUAAUACUUUCAAUACACUGGAGACAUAAUAUGAAAACAAACAUUUGUACCAAUUGACACAAGAAAAUAUUAAAUCAAAAAGUAUAAUAUUAUAUUUUUCAAUACAUUUCUAUAGAAUACACGUUUUAUUUUACGUCCUAUAGAAUACACGUUAAGGAUACUAUAUAUGUCAUAUAUUAUAUAUUAUUAUAUUUUUUCUAUUGCCAAAAUAUAUCAUAUUUCAAUUCCUAUCAGGAAGGGCUUAAUAUUCAUAGGAGACAAGAAAAUGAAAAAUAUACCCAAUGCUACAGUUACAGGAAAUGGAUGGGACAAUUAGAACACAAUUUUUCCCUUUCUCUCCUUGGCAGCGCGUGAAACUGACAAGGGAAGCUAAAAGACAUGAUUCUUUUCUUUUUUUAAGUCACAUCUAUAUCAUAACAAAAAUAAAUUAUUUUAAAAGGAUAAGUUCUCGCCUAUUAUUUUAAAAUAUAAUCAUAAUUAUUAUAUCUUCUUUUAAAUUAAGCGUCUAUACACACUUAAGUCACUUAUACAAAUGUUAACACUAUACUACAUAUAAUAUAGUAUGGUCACCGUAGAACCAGAUGAGCUCACGUCAAAGGUGUAUAUGGUUCUAGUUGCAUAUAUGUUGUAGACGAAGGUAUAACAGAUGGAAGCUAGGUGUUGGGAGAAUGUAUUUUAGGAUGCAAGAAGCAACUAUUAUAGAACUGACGAUAGGGGUAGCGAAACUUUUGGAGGUAAUAUAUACAAAUUUGAUAUUUAAGUGUAUUCAAGCAGCUGACUAACUAAACAAUGAAAAGUCAUAGUGUAUAGUCGGAUAAUAAUAGCCGUACAGAGCACAUCACAUAUUACAUAAGUUGCACAAAUAGUAAACGCAAUGGGGUGGCUCGGUUAGACGCAUGUCAACUUCGAUUCAAUAAAAUAUGCAUAGACAAUUUUUGAACGUAAAGGACACAAAAUUAGAGGACUGUCCUAUGUUAGCGACGUAUGUGUCAACGAAAAGCUAUCAAAUAUUACUAUACUAUAUUUCAUUUAGUAUAACCAUAGGCAUCACUUAACACCAUACAAUACUAUACUUUACAAUAUGUAGUAUAGUAGUGUAAGAAUGACCUUUUUAUUUGACUAUGUUAUGUACAAUAGACCACACUUGGGCUUAUGAGUUGCAAAAAUGUGUUAGCUGCCGUUAGAAGAAGAAAAGGCUAUAACUAGUGAACUUAAGGGGUCCCAAAUGGUGGAAUCUAACAUAGAAGAACUGUAUAUAGACAAACUGUUGUGUAUACAGGUUGACAUAUAUACUAUAUUAAAAAUGUUAUAAUAAUGGAAGUUCUCUACUAUGUCACAAUACAAUUGUACUUCUUUGUUGCAUAAAAUACGUAGGAACCUAUAUAUUUAUUACAUUGUGCAACUAGACAAGGAAAAAGUUGACAAACAUGACUGAACAUGUAUGCGUUCCUAUUAGCAUUAUUUUCUGAACUGUGAUUCCCCCAACUACUCCAUCUGAGCAUCGGAAAGGGGCUGCUUUUAUCACUUCUAUCUCUCGAAUAUUAGAAUUGGUGUUUAUUCUUUUCCGACCGGUUGGUUCGAACUCUGUCUGAUACAAACACACUGUGAAGUCUUACUCCUCCAUCCAACAAAUGAAAAAUAAAUACAUAUGCGUAGAGUGAACAAAAUGUUAAAGUCGCAACACAUUUGGUAAGCAACGACAAUACAAAACUGGCAUAUAUAGUUUACAAUCCUUUAUAUACUAAAGCACAAGUCACUUAACAAAUCAAAUUUUGACAAAUGGAAAAUGUUUUAUUUAAAAAAUAAGAGUUUGAUUAAAAUAAAUUCAUCAUCCCUAAUUUUUAGCAACUUCAUCCUAAAUUUUCUUAAAUAUCACAUUCACGUUGUUGAAUUGUCAUGGUUCAUGAUUUCAAACCGUUUUUUUUUCAUAUAUAAAAUUUAAUCUCUAAUUUAAUUUCUGCUUUCUUUCCCCCUUUUUCUACCAUCUCCAUUAUCAGUUGUGCUCUCUACGAUUCUUCAUAUAUAUUUUUGGAGCAAUUUAAAACUUUUUUUAUUUAUUGCAUGGAUUAUACUUCAAAAUACAUUAUCAACAAAAUUUUAGAUAGAUACAGUGGAAUUAUGGGAAGAGGCUGAUACUGGUACUUUGAUUUUGAAGAAAUUCAAUUUUACAGAUCAUGGAGUUAACAGUUUGGAAAGAUGGGAUGGAGUAUAGACAAAGUUAUUCUCGUGGAAAGCCAUGAGUACAACCUAAAAACAUGAUUUUUGUCUUCAACUGCACCACAUCAGAAAUCAUUAAUAUUAAUCAGAUCUAGGGUCAGGAGAAUGGCCAUCAUGAUGAUGUUCAUUUCCAGCUUCAUUUUCUUCUUUGGAACUCGGGUUUUGGUUUCCAGUUGGAUUAGGCUCUGGUAUGUAAUUGUAUCCCGGAACAAAUCCCUCAGCAUGACCGUAGUUUCCAAAUGGUAAUGGAUGAUUGGGGAGAGCCAUGUUAUGGUUGUAGAAAUUAUUCAUGUUCACCAUUCUUCUUUGAUCAAACAGGUUCAUAUUUGGAUUGAUAUUAAUACCACCAUCAACCCCAAAAAGAGCAUUACUAGAGCUUCCCACAUAGAAACUUGGAUGAGGAUAUCUUCCUUCCAACAUUUUGAAAGCUUCAUGUCUCACUUGUUUCUUCAGAUUUUCAAGUUUACCUUUGAAUUCUUUGGCUUGACCUAAGUCAAGUCCUCCAAUGGAAUCUUUCAACCAAAUCUCAGGGACUUUGGAAUUUUUUCUUUUGUUCUUCAAGUCUUCAGUCUUUUUUUGCUCUAAUUCUAGUUGGUUCAUCAGCUGAAAAUGUAAAAACGUAUUAUAAACAAUUAUGUAUAAACCCUAGUAGGUAUUCAAAAAUUAUUUUUCAAUAAACAUAAAAUAAUACAAAAGAAUAUCACUUAUGGAAUCAAUAUCCAUGCCAUAUGAUUCCACACCAUAUUCAUAAAUAUUGAAAAAUGGUUACAACUCGUAGAUCAGGGUUUUUAUAAUUUUCUCAAACAUAACAAAAUUUAUAAAUAACACAAUAAAAUUUACCUCAGUAAGAUCAUUGUUCAGAUCUUGAAUCGGAGAGUUUCGAUGGAUUUCAUCAAGUUGCAUGUUGGGUUGUGGGUUGAGAGGUGGAUUUUCAAUGCCUUCGAAUCGAUUUAUUAUAGUUUCUACGUCUAGAUGACCAAAAGAAUAAACUUUUCCACUAGGUGAAAACACAAAAAUAGCGACCUCAGCAUCACAAAGUGUACAAAGCUCACAAGCCUUUUUGAAAAGACCAUUUUUUCUUUUAGAAAACGUAACUUGAAGGUUAUUUUCUUUAUCCAUUUUGACCAUUUUUGUUUUUUGACGACCUUUACUUUUUU